Molecule: ribosomal RNA, 255 nt
Filed under: uncultured bacterium
Lineage: Bacteria
Description: partial 16S ribosomal RNA
Rfam family: Bacterial small subunit ribosomal RNA
Source: RNAcentral
GACGGGUGAGUAACGCGUGGGUAACCUGCCUUAUACAGGGGGAGUAACAGUCAGAAAUGGCUGCUAAUACCGCAUAAGCGCACAGAGCUGCAUGGCUCAGUGUGAAAAACUCCGGUGGUAUAAGAUGGACCCGCGUUGGAUUAGCUUGUUGGUGGGGUAACGGCCCACCAAGGCGACGAUCCAUAGCCGGCCUGAGAGGGUGAACGGCCACAUUGGGACUGAGACACGGCCCAGACUCCUACGGGAGGCAGCAUG